CUAAAAGCGAGGUUCUUUGUGAGUUGGUGCUGCUGCUUUGUUUCCGUGAAAUGCGUUAGGUUUUCGGGAGAGGGGAUUUUUAAAUUUCUUUCCCUUGGAAUGUCCUGCUUGAGAAUGCUGUGCUUACUGAUUUGGGCCUUAGGAUUUCCGUACCCAAUUAGAGGCAGGGGCCUGAUGUAUAGAUGCCCCUUUUCUGGUGCCACUUAAUGCAGUUAUACUGUGAGGAAAAACAGAACAAAGGAUACUCAUCUCUUACUCCCUAAGCAAGAAAUUUUUUCCAUCAUUAGUUCAGGUCAGUCUAGAGAUUCAGCUGCAACUGAUUAAAAUCAGACUCUGGAGUUCCCAUUGUGGCUCAGUGAUUAGCAAAUCUAACUAGGGAUCAUGUGGUUGCGGGUUUGAUCCCUGGCCUCGCUCAGUGGGUUAAGGAUCUGGUGUUGCUGUGAGCUAUGGUGUAGGUCACAGACUCGGCUCAGAUCUGGCAUUGCUGUGGCUGUGGUGUAGGCCAGCAGCUACAGCUCUGAUUAGACCCCUAGCCUGGGAACCUCCAUACGCUGUGUGGGCAGCCCUAGAAAAGACAAAAAAAAUUUUAAAAUAAAAUCAGACUGCUUGUUAAGUUACAGUAAAAUGUAGUAAGAAACAGGAGGGAGCCUGUCUUUUUUUUAAAACCAGAAUACUUCCAGAGAAGGAAAUUCAUAUAAGACAUCACACUGCGUGUAUGAAUGGGCCAAUGAAAAUUUCAUGGAAAAGUUAGGAAUAGAGGCUGAAAAGUAUAUGCUUCACGAAUCAAAGUCAGACUUGGCAAACAUCUAAGUGCCUAUAUUAUUCCACACACAUUUCCUUAAUUGAUCCUCAACAAUUCUUUGAGGUAGGAAUUACUCUCAUCUGACAGGUAAUCUUCAGUUACUUGUCCACAGUUGGAGCCCUACCCCAAUCCUAGAAUAACUGCUAUGUCUGCUACAUCAUACUAUCUUAAUUAUGUAACAGAUAAUGAUAAAAAAAAUGUUGCCAGUAGGACCUUUAAUUUUAGAUAAUAAGGAUUAAAGAGUAAGAAAUUCUUUUUUUUUGGUCAUUUUUUUAGGGCUGUGACCAAGGCAUAUGGAGGCUCCCAGGCUAGAGGUCGAAUCACAACUGUAGCUGCUGGCCUAUGCCACAGCCACAGGGACACAGGAUCUGAGUCGAGUCUGUGACCACACAGCUCACGGCAAUGGCCGGAUCCUUAACUCUCUGAGAAAGACCAGGGAUCGAACCUGCGUCAUCAUGGAUGCUAGUCAGAUUUACUAACCACUGAGCCACGUGGGAACUCCCAAGAAAUUAUUCUGAUAUUCAGAUAGCAGAUUGAUUUCUUCUGAUUUUCAACAGUCAUAGAAAUAAUUCUCUAAAAAUUGUUGUCCAAUUCAACUGGUACUAACCCGUGUCUCUUUAAACUUAAAAUAUAGCCAGUAUAAUUCAGAAACUGAAUUUUAAU
Molecule: long non-coding RNA, 1465 nt
Filed under: Sus scrofa (pig)
Lineage: Eukaryota; Metazoa; Chordata; Mammalia; Artiodactyla; Suidae
Description: lncRNA (ENSSSCG00060058768.1)
Source: RNAcentral